CACCGGCGUCGCUGCCGCUUCCCACCCCUUUCCUGCCUUCUCUUCCCCGGCACCGCCGGCAGGGCACGGGCCUGCUCGCAGCGCCAGGCCGCCGCGGGAGUCUGCAUCAACUGCCUCUGGAAACCGUGGGUAGGUGGGAUGAACCCAGGCCUGCCUGCUGAACAGCAAGUAACUGACUUAUUCUGCUGUAGCCUGUGCUAACUCUGAGUGCCAUUCUAGUGCAAACAAAUCGCAUUGGGUCAUGGCGGCAGACUCUAUGGAAAUUGAUGAUGCUUUGUAUAGUCGCCAGAGAUAUGUUCUUGGAGACACAGCAAUGCAGAAGAUGGCUCAGUCCCACGUGUUCCUGAGUGGUAUAGGUGGUCUUGGUGUGGAGAUUGCCAAAAAUAUCAUUCUGGCUGGGGUAAAGGCUCUUACAGUUCAUGACACCAAGCAAUGCACAAAAUGGGAUUUAGGGAUCAAUUUCUUCAUCCACGAAGAUGACAUACUUAGUCAAAGGAACAGGGCUGAGGCCACACUUCAUCGUAUUGCUGAACUUAAUCCAUAUGUCCACGUAGCAGCAUCAACUGUGCCAUUAGAGGAAACCACAGAUCUGUCUUUCCUAAAGCACUACCAGUGCGUCAUACUGACUGAAGUAAGCCUAUCGCUGCAGAAGAAGAUUAAUGACUUCUGUCAUGCUCAGCAGCCACCCAUCAAGUUCAUCAGUGCAGAUGCGUACGGAAUAUGUUCACGUCUGUUUUGUGACUUUGGUGAUGAAUUUGAAGUGCUGGAUACAACAGGAGAGGAACCAAAGGAAAUCUUCAUUUCAAAUAUUACACAAUCAAAUCCUGGCAUUGUCACUUGCCUUGAAAAUCAUCCACACAGGCUUGAAACUGGACAGUUCUUAACCUUUCGUGAAGUUAACGGAAUGUCAUGUUUAAAUGGGUCCACACACCAAAUAACAGUGGUGUCACCUUACUCCUUCAGCAUUGGUGAUACAUCAGAUAUGGAGCCUUACUUGCAUGGUGGCAUAGCUGUCCAAGUGAAGACCCCCAAGAUGUUUUACUUUGAACGGUUGGAGAAGCAGCUAACAAAUCCAUUAUGCCUAGUUGCAGACUUUAGCAAGCCUGAGGCACCUUUGCAGAUCCAUGUUGCCAUGCUUGCCUUGAACCACUUCCAGGAGAACUUUGGUCGCAUGCCAAACAUUGGAUGCCUUCAAGAUGCUGAGGAAAUGCUGAAAAUAGCCAUGUCUGUAAGCAAAACACUGGAAAACAAACCUCGGGUAAAUGGAGAUAUAGUGAAAUGGCUGUCUAGAACUGCUCAGGGAUUUCUAGCUCCUCUGGCUGCAGCAGUGGGUGGUGUUGCUAGUCAGGAAGUCCUGAAAGCAGUAACAGGAAAAUUUUCUCCGUUACAGCAGUGGUUGUACAUAGAUAUGUUAGACAUUGUUACAUCUCUGGAAAAGAUGGGCUCUGAAGAAUUUCUUCCACGGGGAGAUAGGUAUGAUGCCUUGAGGGCUUGUAUUGGAGACCCUCUAUGCCAGAAGCUGCAUAAUUUGAAUGUUUUUUUGGUUGGCUGUGGAGCAAUAGGCUGUGAAAUGCUAAAAAACUUUGCACUUCUUGGUGUUGGUACUGGGCAAGAUAAAGGAUUGGUUACAAUUACAGAUCCAGACUUGAUAGAGAAAUCCAACCUGAACAGGCAAUUUCUCUUUCGACCUCAUCACAUACAGAAACCUAAAAGCUAUACUGCAGCAGAAGCAACUCUGAACAUCAAUCCUUACUUAAAGAUUGACUCAUAUAUUAAUAAAGUUUGUCCAGCCACUGAGAACACUUACAGUGAUGAAUUCUACACCAAGCAAGAUGUGAUUGUGACUGCUUUGGACAACGUUGAGGCGAGGAGGUACAUCGAUAGUCGUUGCGUAGCAAACCUGCGUCCUCUUAUAGACUCUGGAACUAUGGGAACGAAAGGACACACAGAAGUUAUUGUGCCUCAUCUGACAGAGUCAUAUAAUAGUCACCGGGAUCCACCGGAAGAAGAAAUACCUUUUUGUACCUUGAAGUCUUUCCCAGCUGCCAUUGAACAUACGAUACAGUGGGCAAGAGAUAAGUUUGAAAGUUCAUUUUCUCAUAAGCCUUCAUUGUUUAACAAAUUUUGGCAAACCUAUCCAUCUGCAGAAGAAGUUUUACAGAGAAUAAAAUCAGGGGAGAGUUUAGAAGGCUGUUUUCAUGUUAUUAAAACACUCAGUAGAAGACCCCGAAGUUGGACUCAGUGUGUGGAACUAGCAAGAGUAAAAUUUGAAAAAUAUUUUAGCCAUAAGGCUCUUCAGCUUCUUCAUUCAUUUCCCCUUGAUACACGAUUAAAAGAUGGAAGUUUGUUCUGGCAGUCACCAAAGAGGCCACCUUUCCCAGUGAAGUUUGAAUUUAAUGAUCCUUUGCACUAUGGUUUCAUUGUGAGCGCAGCAAAACUCUUUGCAACCGUGUACUGUGUUCCCUUCACAGAAAAGGAUUUGUCAGAGGAAACUAUUUUGAAGAUAACUUCAUCUGUGAAGGUACCAGAGUUCAGACCUUCAAACAAAGUUGUACAGACCGAUGAAACUGCAAGAAAACCAGAUCAUAUUCCAGUCAGCAGUGAGGAUGAAAGAAAUGCUAUUUUCCAGCUGGAGAAGUUUAUACUAUCCAAUGAAGCUUUGGAAAAUGACUUGCAAAUGAAGCCCAUUUCUUUUGAAAAAGAUGACGAUACUAAUGGACAUAUAGAUUUCAUAACAGCAGCAUCAAACUUACGAGCCAAGAUGUACAACAUCGAACCAGCAGAUCGGUUCAAAACAAAGCGCAUUGCUGGAAAGAUUAUUCCUGCAAUUGCAACGGCUACUGCUGCAGUUUCAGGGCUGGUUGCACUGGAACUCAUCAAAGUUGUGGGUGGUUACCCAGCUGAUGCAUACAAGAACUGUUUUCUGAACUUAGCCAUUCCCAUAAUGGUCUUUACAGAAACUGCUGAAGUAAGAAGAACUGAAAUCAGAAAUGGGAUAUCAUUUACAAUCUGGGACAGGUGGACAAUUUAUGGAAAAGAGGAUUUUACACUGUUGGACUUCAUAAAUGCUGUCAGAGAGAAAUAUGGAAUUGAACCAACUAUGGUUGUACAGGGAGUCAAAAUGCUGUAUGUUCCCGUGAUGCCAGGUCAUAUUAAAAGAUUAAAGCUGACGAUGCAAAAGCUUGUGAAGCCAUCUGCUGAUAAAAAGUAUGUGGAUUUGACAGUAUCAUUUGCUCCAGAGACUGAUGGAGAUGAAGACUUGCCAGGGCCACCAGUGAGAUACUACUUUGUUCAGGAAGACAAUUGAUGGUAGAGGUGCAAAAGUCACUCCAGGACCAUUUGUUUUGAAAGGAGUGUGCUAAUUUUCAGCUAUUAAAGAUGGUACUAUAUAUUUUUUUUUUUUGGUGAAGCCUUAAUUAAAGCAAAUGGUGAAAGUCAGUUGCUUUGCACUGAAGACAAACUGGACUUGUUUCAUCUCCUGUUACCUUCAAACCUGUUUACUCAAGGGAGGAUUGGUCACUCCAUGAGAUGGAAUGUCCAGUACAGUCCUUACCUUAAAGACAAGAUAUGUUUUAAUUUGUGGGGAGCUGAAGAAAGCAAGAAGAACAGUGAACGUAACAGAUUGUCCCCAUGUGCAAUUUAAGCACUGCUUAGAGAAGAUUGCAAAAACUGGGGAAACUGCCAUUUUAUGAUAUUCCUGUCAAAUCCAUUUCAUGUGUUAUUUUCUUCUCAAAUGAGAAUUUCAAUCUUGCCAUCUACAUGAGGGAUAACCCAUCCAAAAUGUUUAAACUUCCACUUAAAAGCAGAUGAGCUGCUCUGCUGUGUUGUUGGUGCUCUCUUCUGAACUGUAUGUGAUGCUGUGUGUCAGAGCAGCUAUCUUAAUGUCAGUCUCCACGUGGAAACAGAGGGAGGCAGGUCUUGAACAGGUAUAAAAAUUGUCAUAGCUCCCCUGAAGUCAAGACACCUGGAAUUGUUCAUUAUCUGCACUAAGACUGUUCUCUGGGGAAUACUGCAAUAUGGGGAAAGUGGAACCCUAUCGGAGAGCUGAGUUAACACUUUCAACAAUAAAACUUUGCCUUCAAGAAAGAGAAAAUGUUCAGUGUGGUUGAGCCUUUCUGCCCUUACCAAAUUGCGAGCACUGUAGCAAGAGAUGACUUUGAAAGGAGGAGUUGGUUUGUUUAAGAAAAAAGCCAGGAUCAGCUGAAGGAGUGUAGCUCAGCUGUAGAUACUCCAUCCUGGAAGCACUUUGUUUGGUCCAGCUGCCUGACACACUUUAGAGGCUAAAAAUAUUAAACUCGGAUCCUACUGCUGAUCACUUCAGUCGCUUGUUUUGAAGGCUGGAUCCCCAAUUUCCGAGAGGAAUUUCGAGAUGGAUUCUGUGGCUGAGGCUCGUUAUCAGCCUGAGAGAACAGAGAAUGACAGUGUAAGAACAACCGCAGCAAACAAAGUACGAUAUUUUCAUGUUCAGAUAACUUUCAUCCCUUUAGAAGUACCUUGCCUGGAAAUGAGCCUCCUGCCAAGCUACAUCACACCCUGAAGCAUUGCACUUCCCCAGUUGCUCCAAGUUCAAUUAGUGAGAGAGGAUGGAAGUGGGAAGGAAAGAAAUCAUGGGCUCUGUUGGAGUAAAAGGAGUAAGGCGUGUGGAUCCAAACGGAAGGCCAAGCUAAGGAGGUUCAAUUCUUUGCUCACUUUAUAUUCUCAGAUACUCCAGAGAAAACUGCCUGAUGUCUUGAGGGGGAGUUUCCCUGGUGUUAGAUUCCUCAGCACUGCCUCCCUCUUUGGCUGCCUUUUGGUGCCUGGCCACACCAAAGAAGGCAUUUCUACUCUCACGUCAGAAUGGAGACCUGAAUAUCCAUGACAGAUGGGGUAAAGCACCAAGCAGCUUACAAAUCAUGUCUUUCAUUUUCUUACCUUCACUUCUAGUUCCUCAUUUGACAGUGUCAGGAUGAACUGUGACGAGUCAUUUUCGUUUGGAUAAAUACUGGUUGCUGAGGUCAAAGCUGAUAUAUCUAGCUUCUGUGAGUACUAAGGAAGCAACAAAAAGAAAUAACACAGGUUGUAAUUUUCACCCCAAAUCUAGCUGCUCUUCAAAGAAAUUUGUUUAGAAGAAAAUGCAUGGAAACUUUUUCUAGAUCUUGGAUUAAAUUUCACUGACAGACAUUUC
RNA transcript from Cygnus atratus (black swan), 5164 nucleotides. It is a transcript of the gene named ubiquitin like modifier activating enzyme 6, with no coding region annotated. The record is from RefSeq and is a predicted model, not a curated record. The transcript is spliced from 37 exons. Lineage: Eukaryota; Metazoa; Chordata; Aves; Anseriformes; Anatidae.